UACGAAGGGGGCUAGCGUUGCUCGGAAUCACUGGGCGUAAAGGGCGCGUAGGCGGAUCUUUAAGUCGGGGGUGAAAGCCCAGGGCUCAACCCUGGAAUUGCCUUCGAUACUGAAGAUCUCGAGACCGGAAGAGGAAAGUGGAACUGCGAGUGUAGAGGUGAAAUUCGUAGAUAUUCGCAAGAACACCAGUGGCGAAGGCGGCUUACUGGUCCGGUUCUGACGCUGAGGCGCGAAAGCGUGGGGAGCAAACAGG
RNAcentral lists this ribosomal RNA (253 nucleotides) under uncultured bacterium. RNAcentral describes it as "partial 16S ribosomal RNA". It matches the Rfam family "Bacterial small subunit ribosomal RNA", at positions 524 to 776 of the family's 1533-position model. The record is from RNAcentral.